UGCGUAGGCGGGAUGAUAAGUCAGUGGUGAAAUCCUACAGCUUAACUGUAGAACUGCCAUUGAUACUGUCAUUCUUGAGUACAACUGAAGUGGGCGGAAUGUGUCAUGUAGCGGUGAAAUGCAUAGAUAUGACACAGAACACCGAUUGCGAAGGCAGCUCACUAAACUGUAACUGACGCUGAGGCACGAAAGCGUGGGGAGCGAACAGGAUUAGAUACCCUGGUAGUCC
RNAcentral lists this ribosomal RNA (229 nucleotides) under uncultured bacterium. RNAcentral's name for it is "partial 16S ribosomal RNA". It matches the Rfam family "Bacterial small subunit ribosomal RNA", at positions 568 to 796 of the family's 1533-position model. The record is from RNAcentral.